AGGACGAACGCUGGCGGCGUGCCUAACACAUGCAAGUCGAGCGGAGUCAGUAAGAGGAAGUUUCGGAUGGAAUCUUGUUGAUUUAGCGGCGGACGGGUGAGUAACGCGUGAGCGACCAACCUUGCACAGGGGGAUAACGGACCGAAAGGUUCACUAAUACCGCAUGAGACCACGGUGUUGCAUGACACAGGGGUCAAAGGAGCAAUCCGGUGCAAGACGGGCUCGCGUCCGAUUAGGUAGUUGGAGGGGUAACGGCCCACCAAGCCUAUGAUCGGUAGCCGACCUGAGAGGGUGAUCGGCCACAUUGGAACUGAGAUACGGUCCAAACUCCUACGGGAGGCAGCAGUGGGGAAUAUUGGGCAAAUGGGGGAAACCCUGACCCAGCAACGCCGCGUGAAGGAAGAAGGUUUUCGGAUUGUAAACUUCUGUCCUUGGUGAAGAGAAGAAGACGGUAGCCAAGGAGGAAGCCCCGGCUAACUACGUGCCAGCCGCAGC
RNAcentral lists this ribosomal RNA (495 nucleotides) under uncultured bacterium. Its description in RNAcentral is "bacterial SSU rRNA". It matches the Rfam family "Bacterial small subunit ribosomal RNA", at positions 26 to 518 of the family's 1533-position model. The record is from RNAcentral.